Molecule: ribosomal RNA, 1228 nt
Filed under: metagenome
Description: bacterial SSU rRNA
Rfam family: Bacterial small subunit ribosomal RNA
Source: RNAcentral
AGAGAUGCCUCUGCUGCAACAAAGAUGCUGCAAGGUGUCGCCUCAGGAGGGGCUCUUGUCCUAUCAGCUUGAUGGCGGGGUAACGGCCCACCAUGGCACCGACGGGUAGUCGGCGUGAGAGCGUGACCGGCCACAGGGGAACUGAGACACGGUCCCCACUCCUACGGGAGGCAGCAGUCUAGAAAUUUGGGCAAUGGGCGAAAGCCUGACCCAGCGACACCGCGUGGAGGAUGAAGUCUUUCGGUAUGUAAACUCCUGUCAGGGUGAACGAUGCCACUGCGGAGUAACUGCCGCAGUGGUGACGGUACUCCCAAAGGAAGCUCCGGCUAACUACGUGCCAGCAGCCGCGGUGAUACGUAGGGGGCAAGCGCUGUCCGGAUUUACUGGGCGUAAAGGGUGUGUAGGCGGACUGGUGUGUCGAUGGUGAAAGCUUCCGGCUCAACCGGGAAACUGCUGUCGAAACUACUGGUCUAGAGGGCAGGAGAGGAAACUGGAACUUCCGGUGUAGCGGUAAAAUGCGUAGAUAUCGGAAGGAACGCCGAUAGCGAAGGCAGGUUUCUGGAAUGCCCCUGACGCUGAAACACGAAAGCUAGGGAGCAAACAGGAUUAGAUACCCUGGUAGUCCUAGCUGUAAACGAUGCGCAUUAGGCGUGGGGAUCCUAUUCUCCGUGCCGCAGUUAACGCGAUAAAUGCGCCGCCUGGGGACUACGGCCGCAAGGUUGAAACUCAAAGGAAUUGACGGGGACCCGCACAAGCGGUGGAGGAUGUGGUUUAAUUCGAUGCUACGCGAAAAACCUUACCUGGGUUUGGCAUGCAAGUGGUAGGGACCCGAAAGGGGAUCGACCGGGGAUUUUCUCCGGAGCUUGCACAGGUGCUGCAUGGCUGUCGUCAGCUCGUGCCGUGAGGUGUAUGGUUAAGUCCCGCAACGAGCGCAACCCCUGCCCUUAGUUGCUAACCGGUGACGGUGCACUCUAGGGGGACUGCCUCCGUCAAGGAGGAGGAAGGUGGGGAUGACGUCAAGUCAUCAUGGUCUUUAUGCCCAGGGCUACACACGUCCUACAGUGGCUACCACAAUGGGUCGCAACAUCGCAAGGUGAAGCUAAUCCUCAAAGGUAGCCAUGGUUCGGAUAGCAGGCUGCAAUUCGCCUGCUUGAAGACGGAAUCGCUAGUAAUCGCUGAUCAGCAUGCAGCGGUGAAUACGUUCCCGGGUCUUGUACACACCGCCCGC